UGUGUAGGUGGCGCACUAAGUCGGAUGUUAAAUUCCACGGCCUAACCGUGGAGCCGCAUUCGAGACUGGUGGGCUAGAGACUGAAAGAGAGGAAUGGAAUUCUCGGAGUAGCGGUCAAAUGCGUAGAUCUCGAGAGGAACAUCAAUGGCGAAGGCAGUUCCUUGGUUCAAGUCUGACACUAAAGCACGAAAGCGUGGGGAGCAAACA
RNAcentral lists this ribosomal RNA (207 nucleotides) under uncultured bacterium. RNAcentral's name for it is "partial 16S ribosomal RNA". It matches the Rfam family "Bacterial small subunit ribosomal RNA", at positions 568 to 774 of the family's 1533-position model. The record is from RNAcentral.